Panicum virgatum (switchgrass) is the source of this 1150-nucleotide long non-coding RNA. RefSeq lists it as uncharacterized. The transcript is spliced from 2 exons. Lineage: Eukaryota; Viridiplantae; Streptophyta; Magnoliopsida; Poales; Poaceae. The record is from RefSeq and is a predicted model, not a curated record.
CCUCCAGUCCUCUGCUACUCGCACUGUCGCACGGGACUCGCAAGCCACGAGCUCCCACACGGGACUCCAUAGACCGCUGCCGGCUGCCGCCACCCUGCCGACCCAUCCCGACCUACUCCAUGAUGGCUUUAGAUCCAGAUGUCCUCCAUCUCCCUUCCUCAUCUGCUCCGCAUCGCCCCUCUCCUGUCCUUUUCCUCACCGGCUCAACCCAUUCAUCUUCUUGCUAGAUAUUAGGGGGAUCGAGAGCGCUGCUAGGAGCAACGGCGGCGGCCGCCGCUUCUUCGCGCCGGCCUCCAUUCUCAUCGGCCAUUCCCACUGGCCACGCUCACCUACGUCCUCCACUGCCGUUGGUGCUUCUUCCGCAGAAAGGUGCGCAUCUUCCAACAAGCACUAGUACAGCACCAAGAUUGAUCCGAUCCAAUUCCAAAAGGGGGCCGGGGGAACCACGUGCACCUCACAUGGCCUUCUAGCUGCUUCAUUUGAAUACCAAGCAUACGUAUUCUGUUGCUAGCUGCUUGCAUUGCUACAACCGCAUAAUCAAUUCUGCUAGUGGAUCAGCUAUGGCACGUGAUGUUCUGGCUAUUUCACUCAGCACUGUUUCUUCUGAAUCUGCAUUCAACUUAUGUGGUCCGAUUCUUAGUGACAAUCGAAGCUCGAUGACGCCACAAACUCUUGAAACCCUGGUUUACUGCAAAGAUUGGUUGGUAAUUUUAAUUCACCCACCUGUACAAGCUCUCAAGUGUUAUUUCUGUUGUACCUUUGCAUCUGCAUCCACAAACUCUUUGUGUGUGCGUGUGCAGUCCGAGGGUAAAUCAUGAGAAGCUGAGAUGACUCUUAAGGCUUUCAGGGAGAAGUUUCCUAAGCUUUUCACUCUGUGAAGAAAACAAUGACAAUCCACAUGUUCCCUUUUUCAAGCUCCAGAAGUAGCACAUCCUGGUUGCUAUGCUGUAGAUUCAGAUGCUCCCCCUUGAUUCACUAUAUUAUUCUUUUCGCUAGCUUGGUCUCCUGAACUGAACAUGCAAGCACCAAUUUAUGUUACCUAUAAUGUAGCUCAAGAAGCUGAAUUUUUUGUAUGUUUUGUGGUCGUUUUGAAUCUUGGAAACCUCUCAUUUAUGUCUGAAUCAAUGCGUUGAUUACUGAAAGUUCUGCA